Epinephelus fuscoguttatus (brown-marbled grouper) is the source of this 197-nucleotide small nuclear RNA. RefSeq annotates it as U2 spliceosomal RNA. The transcript has a single exon. NCBI's taxonomy places the organism in Eukaryota, Metazoa, Chordata, Actinopteri, Perciformes, Serranidae. The record is from RefSeq and is a predicted model, not a curated record.
AUCGCUUCUUUGUCUAUGGACAUCGAUGAAGUGUAAUAUCUAUUCUCACUUGAGUCAAUCUCAAAUGGUUUCCGAGCUAUCCACGCUAUACGCGAAACGAAACCAGUUUUUGGAAUGGGGAGCUGGAUUAGAGUUCGCUCUGUCCACUCCACGCAUCGACCUGGUAUUGCAGUAUCUCCAGGCACGGUGCACCACCA